RNAcentral lists this ribosomal RNA (842 nucleotides) under uncultured archaeon. RNAcentral describes it as "bacterial SSU rRNA". It matches the Rfam family "Archaeal small subunit ribosomal RNA", at positions 77 to 922 of the family's 1478-position model. The record is from RNAcentral.
UGUGGCAUACGGCUCAGUAACACGUAGUCAACAUGCCCAGGGGACGUGGAUAACCUCGGGAAACUGAGGAUAAACCACGAUAGGUCAUCACUUCUGGAAUGGGUAAUGACUUAAAUCUAUAUGGCCCCUGGAUUGGACUGCGGCCGAUCAGGCUGUUGGUGAGGUAAUGGCCCACCAAACCUGUAACCGGUACGGGCUCUGAGAGGAGGAGCCCGGAGAUGGGCACUGAGACAAGGGCCCAGGCCCUAUGGGGCGCAGCAGGCGCGAAACCUCUGCAAUAGGCGAAAGCUUGACAGGGUUACUCUGAGUGAUUUCCGUUAAGGAGAUCUUUUGGCACCUCUAAAAAUGGUGCAGAAUAAGGGGUGGGCAAGUCUGGUGUCAGCCGCCGCGGUAAUACCAGCACCCCGAGUGGUCGGGACGUUUAUUGGGCCUAAAGCAUCCGUAGCCGGUUCUACAAGUCUUCCGUUAAAUCCACCUGCUUAACAGAUGGGCUGCGGAAGAUACUAUAGAGCUAGGAGGCGGGAGAGGCAAGCGGUACUCGAUGGGUAGGGGUAAAAUCCGUUGAUCCAUUGAAGACCACCAGUGGCGAAGGCGGCUUGCCAGAACGCGCUCGACGGUGAGGGAUGAAAGCUGGGGGAGCAAACCGGAUUAGAUACCCGGGUAGUCCCAGCUGUAAACGAUGCAGACUCGGUGAUGAGUUGGCUUAUUGCUAACUCAGUGCCGCAGGGAAGCCGUUAAGUUUGCCGCCUGGGGAGUACGGUCGCAAGACUGAAACUUAAAGGAAUUGGCGGGGGAGCACCACAAGGGGUGAAGCCUGCGGUUCAAUUGGAUUCAACGCCGGG